Chenopodium quinoa (quinoa) is the source of this 2249-nucleotide long non-coding RNA. RefSeq lists it as uncharacterized. Lineage: Eukaryota; Viridiplantae; Streptophyta; Magnoliopsida; Caryophyllales; Amaranthaceae. The transcript is spliced from 3 exons. The record is from RefSeq and is a predicted model, not a curated record.
UAACCCGAACCAACCUGAAAAAAUCACGUUCAGGUUGGGAUGUUCAACCCAAAUAACUUACACGGAUCAGGCCGGAUUGGGUAUUAAAUGACCUGAAACUAGUCAAUCCGAACACAAACCCGACACGACCUGAUCCAUUUGCCACCCAUAUACUCAAACCAAAAUGAGCCCACUUAUAUAAACCCUAGCCCACCUAUACUACCCAUACUCAAAACCAUCCCCCGCACUUCACUGCGCCUCUUCCUUGUCCUCUUCCUUCUCUUCUUCCAUUCUCCCCUUCUCUCUCCUCAAACCGUAGUUUAGAACCCGAUCCCGCUGGCCUGUACUCCGCCGAAAUCAAACCCGAGCUUCCUCACAAUCAAGUUGUUCGACAGAGUAAGAAUGAUCGCAAGCUAGAGAGGAGAACCGAAGAUGGGAGAUGUGAUCGGCGGUAGCACUAGCAGCAGAGACGUUACAAAACUUGCAGAUAUGAUGGACGCUCUGUUGAAGCUGAGCCCCAUUGAGGGUUUUUUUUGUAUGUGAAUUUCUACCUAGCUAAUCAGAGCGAAUGUUAAUCGGCGAAAGUUUCCGUAUUGAUUGAAUAGCAAGCCCUUCAACUAAUUUGGAUAUAUAUGAACCUCACUUUCUACCAUUCGAAUAUUAAUUUGAUAUAUAUGAUGGCUUUAAUUAAAGGGGUUCCCUUGAUGGCUUACACUUAGGCGUUAUGGACCAUAUUAAUCUCUAAUUCAUUUGCCCAUCCAUUACUUGUCAGUUUGAAGAAAUUAGGUAAAAUGUUUAAAACGAUGAUUAUGCUAUGUGGUUCAUGCACCUGAUAUUUAAUGGCGUAUUGUAUAUUCAUCUUGUUGUAACCAUUUUGGUUCCUAUGGUUCAGAUUUCCAUAAGACCCGUCAAUGAAGGCACACCGUUCCAAUUUAUAGCGUCUGCUGACCUGCUUGCAAUAAUGUGUAGCAGAGAACCAGUUGUCAAGGCUUAUUUAUUGGAGAAAGUUGUUGCAUCAAACAGGCCCGUCCCUGAGGAAGGGCAGGAGGGGCGGCUGUUGGGCUGAGUCUUUAUACGAUCAUCCAAUUAAGGGGCAUGGCAGAUCUUUUAAGGGUUUAGAGUAAACCUAUUUUUAAAAGUACAGAGUAUUAGUUUAUCUUUACACUUCCAUUUCUCAAAUACUAUAUUCACACACUAAAGCUUGUAUAAUUUAUUUGUAAGUUUUUUUUUUAAUUUUGAAAACGGCUGAAAUUAGAUUAAUUAAACCGAGUUUAAAACAAACGAAAGGAAAGUAUGGUAACAUAAGUCAAUUACAAGUUAUCAUGUCUUAAAUGUGGUUAGGAUGAGUUUUCCUCAAAAAAAAUGUGGGUAGGAUGACUCUUUUGUCGUGGCCAUUAUUGCAAAUUAAUUGUGUCAUGUGAAGUGUGAACUAUGCAAUUGUAUAGGUAGUGUUACCUUUGCGGUUUUAACAUCAGUUGACGGUCACCUACAUUUUAUUAUAAAUACAUUUGCAGACUAGCAACUGUAGAAUUGUAUGAGUGAGUUAAUUGUAUGAGUUGGUUAGUGAUAUGUGGAAAACAGAAAAUUAUUAGUGAAUAACUUUGGAAGUGACAAUUUUAAUAAAAAAAAAUUUUAAAAUAAACCUAUCUAGAUCAACCGAAGAAAUUUCCAAAAUGCAAGGAGGGAUUACAUCACUCCACACCCAUUGGCCAAACUCCCAUGGUUGAAAGUAAGUCAAUUUGUAUGCUACAUUAUUACCCCCUCGCUUUACAAAAGACCAUGAAUCACUAGUAAAAUUAGAAGAAAAAAAAUCUAGAAUCCUUUAUAAUCAGAUGAAAGGAACUGGAGCCAUACAAACGCUUCCUCAUUGCCUCAAUCACCACCAGAUUAUCACUCUCGAUCCCAAUGCACCUCAUACCCUUGUGUCUCGCAAUCUUCAUGCCCCAAAAUACCGCUUUCACCUCUGCAAUCUUAGUAUCUCAUUUUUCACUCCACUACAUCGUAGCUCCCCAAAGCACCACCCCCUCACUAUUCCUGCAGACUGCACCCAACCCCGUCCCCACCUCCCCCAAAACACCAGCAUCAACAAUUAUUUUAACCACACCAGAUACCGGAAGAGACAUGUCCACAAAGACACUCUUUCCACCCCUCCAUUCCCCAUAUUCAACUUUCCCACCUUUAAUCUUCAAAGCAUAGACAGCAAUUUGCUCAACAUUCGGAUUUUCACCCUCAAUCAUUCAUUUGUUCCUUGCGCCACACAUAGCCCAACA